RNAcentral lists this long non-coding RNA (1063 nucleotides) under Equus asinus (donkey). Its description in RNAcentral is "lncRNA (ENSEASG00005037386.1)". Lineage: Eukaryota; Metazoa; Chordata; Mammalia; Perissodactyla; Equidae. The record is from RNAcentral.
AUGAGCUCCUGGAGCCAUUUGCUUUGAAAUGUGCACAUUUCACAGGCGGCUGCCUGCCAAUGAGACAACUCUAAGCAGGACCAAGAAAAAGGAAAAGAGAGAGAUGCCGGAGAUUUCCCUGACAUACGCAAAAGAAAGGAAACCGGAAAGGCCCAGAGUGCUGAUGGAGUAAGUGAAGGCAGGACACAAUUGGAAAUAUUGAUUAUAUUACCAAAGCUUUGACUGGAAUGUCAUAUUUGAGAGAAACAUACAGACUAAGAUAUGACAAGACAGUUUUUGAGAAAUAAAGGUUGACUUUAUGGAAUAAAGCCACCUGGAAAUAUUGGCCUGGUACCUUACUUAAAGGGUUGCCAGUAACCUUACCAGGUUUUGUUUUCUAUCUGUAAACUGGACUGGAUCCUAAUUCUUCUAGUGUCCUGAAAUAUCUUGCUACAAAUCUCCCAACUAAUGUUUUCAAAUUUUUUCCCGUCAUUUUCAUUGGAAAUCAUUGAGAACUAAAACUGACCUUUUUCCUGAAUCCCUCCAAACUGAAGCUGGACAACUUGAUAUAAACUUAAGAGAGAUUCAUGUCUGUUGCUGUGUAAGCCACUCAGGAAGAUACCUGAACACCCAGUGACCUCAGAGACAUUUCAAACUGCCAAAGAUGCUUUGACUCUGACAUCUAGAGAUCUUUUUGGCUGGCUGCCCCCUUGGCUCAGAAAGUGGAAUGUGAUGAUCCCAGACAGAGAGUCUAUGCUGAUAACCAUCAUUGAAUGACAACUGAAAGAUCUGGUGUGGUGACUCCUAGUCUGUAACACGAGAAAGUCAACAUUCCUGACUCCCUCCCCUAAAACCCACUGGCCUAUAUAACUGCUUCAAGAUUCUUGUGCCCUCCUUAAGAUGGUUCUUUAGGACACUAUUCCUCCCAUCUUCCAAUUUGCUAGCAUAUUGCUUAAUAAAAUGCCCUUUUUCUGCCACGAUCUUGCCUCUUGACAAUUGGCUUUUGUCUUGUGGCAAGUAGAUUGUGCCAUUUGUGCAGUAAUGUACACACAAUAUUUCUAAGUGUUGGUAUGAAAAAAGAAUG